RNAcentral lists this ribosomal RNA (253 nucleotides) under uncultured bacterium. RNAcentral describes it as "partial 16S ribosomal RNA". It matches the Rfam family "Bacterial small subunit ribosomal RNA", at positions 524 to 776 of the family's 1533-position model. The record is from RNAcentral.
UACAGAGGUUCCAAGCGUUGUUCGGAUUCAUUGGGCGUAAAGGGCGCGUAGGCGGCGGGGUAAGUCGGAUGUGAAAUCCCGGGGCUCAACCUCGAAACUGCAUUCGAUACUGCCUUGCUAGAGUACUGGAGAGGAGAUCGGAAUUUACGGUGUAGCGGUGAAAUGCGUAGAUAUCGUGAGGAAGACCAGUGGCGAAGGCGGAUCUCUGGACAGUUACUGACGCUGAGGCGCGAAAGCCAGGGGAGCAAACGGG